CUUGCUAAUUUAAUGCAUAGCUCCAACAAAUAUUAUAUUAUGUUUACUAAAUACUACGACCACAUAUAAACAAACCAUUGUCCCAA
RNAcentral lists this ribosomal RNA (86 nucleotides) under Geotria australis. RNAcentral describes it as "partial 16S ribosomal RNA". The record is from RNAcentral. Lineage: Eukaryota; Metazoa; Chordata; Hyperoartia; Petromyzontiformes; Geotriidae.